This 496-nucleotide ribosomal RNA is filed under the name uncultured bacterium. Its description in RNAcentral is "partial 16S ribosomal RNA". It matches the Rfam family "Bacterial small subunit ribosomal RNA", at positions 28 to 506 of the family's 1533-position model. The record is from RNAcentral.
GAUGAACGCUGGCGGCGUGCCUAAUACAUGCAAGUCGAGCGAACAGACGAGGAGCUUGCUCCUCUGACGUUAGCGGCGGACGGGUGAGUAACACGUGGAUAACCUACCUAUAAGACUGGGAUAACUUCGGGAAACCGGAGCUAAUACCGGAUAAUAUAUUGAACCGCAUGGUUCAAUAGUGAAAGACGGUUUUGCUGUCACUUAUAGAUGGAUCCGCGCCGCAUUAGCUAGUUGGUAAGGUAACGGCUUACCAAGGCAACGAUGCGUAGCCGACCUGAGAGGGUGAUCGGCCACACUGAAACUGAGACACGGUCCAGACUCCUACGGGAGGCAGCAGUAGGGAAUCUGCCGCAAUGGGCGAAAGCCUGACGGAGCAACGCCGCGUGAGUGAUGAAGGUCUUCGGAUCGUAAAACUCUGUUAUUAGGGAAGAACAAAUGUGUAAGUAACUAUGCACGUCUUGACGGUACCUAAUCAGAAAACCACGGCUAACUACGU